RNAcentral lists this long non-coding RNA (3676 nucleotides) under Lupinus angustifolius (narrow-leaved blue lupine). Its description in RNAcentral is "long non-coding RNA (LANG_LNC000117)". The record is from RNAcentral. Lineage: Eukaryota; Viridiplantae; Streptophyta; Magnoliopsida; Fabales; Fabaceae.
CCACGUCUUUCUCAAUAAGGCAUUUCCUUUCCCUGAAUUUUGUGAAUCUUUUAGCCUGUGCCAAGGAGAUACUCUACAGACAAAAGUACAUCAACAGAAUUAUAUUCUGAAAAGGGUUUAGUUGAGACUUGAGAGCAUAAAGAGUUACGGCAAAAAAAUAAUGUCAAAAGAGAUGCGGUAUCCAUAAUCACAAUUCAUUAUUACAAAAUAUUAAUUAGAAAAGAACAUAGACAACAAAAGAGAUGUGUCUUCAUCCAGGUUCAGGUCAUCAGAUUUGUCUAGUUGCCAGGUUCAGGUAGCACAAUGCAGAAUUCAGUUCAAUCGGUGUAGUAAUGACCCAGGAACAAUUAUUCAGGCAGGGGGGGAUGUAGGUGAUAUAAAAUUCAUCAGAUGCAGUGAAGUGUCUCACAAGCAGUUUAGCAAUCUUUGGUUGAAAUUUGACCCAUUCCCAUAUUAACACAUUAGAUACUGCAUAACCACCAGUCUUGCACCAGUCAGUUUUUGUUAAACUGUUGAAUGGAAAGCCCUUCCAGCGUGACAACAUUUUUUAUAUGUGAAACACAAGAAACUAAUGAUCUAGCAGAUGAUAAAAUGGUUAUAAACCUCCAUAUAAUCAAUUGCACCUAAUUUAUAAUACAAAAAACUAUUUUCAAGUGAAUAGUGAGGAAGCAGAAAGAUUAAAUAUAUCAACAAAAAAGCAACGCUAGAAGCAAAUGAAAACCUGCCACUGGUUCUUUAUGGUCUCAUACUCUGACUUUUUAAUUGACUUCAGGAGUUCUCUCUCAGCAUACGUAGAUUCAUAUGAAUAGUACCCCAAAAGCAAACCCCAAACCUAUCAUCAUUUAUAUAAAGCCUUAUAAGAGGAAGUGCAUAUUUAAUUCAUAGUAAAAACAUUUAGCUUAAGGUAACCACAUAUACGAUAGACAAACCUCUUUUCGUAAAUUGUGGUCCGUUUCAGUUAACUCCAAGAAAGGCUAACGCUGCUAGAUUUUGAGAACAAACAUAAAAUGGAACCUCCAAACAUAUCAUCUUUAACAGAACCAAUUUUAUGGCACAGCCAAACAUUUAACAGCAUACAUAUCUGUCAUCAUACAUUCAUAACAACUGAAACUGAACUAUGUCAAUUGUAGCUUUUGAAGGAAUCUAACCUUUUAAAUUGAAUCAAAAUCCAGCGGAAACAAAAGAAAUAAUUCAAGCAGUCACCCUGCUUGAAAUAGUUAUGCAAUGGACUAUCUAGAAGCUCCACCAACUGCAGUAAAUAAAUAUACUAUUUGUUAAGAAUCACAAAUUACACCAAAAGCAAUGCAUUGAACAUCUAAAAGGGGAGGGUAGAUGUACAACGGCCUUACCCCCGCAAUGCAUUAUCUCAAUACCAGAUUUUCUACAAAGAUGUUAAGACCAGUUACCCCAAAAAUGUAGCAUAUAUGGUAAAAUAAUGACAGAUAAGCACACCACACGACAUUGACUAGCAAAGUUUCAAUGCCAGCUUCGGCUACAGGAAGCUUAGCAUGAAAUUUGAAUUAUCCAGAAGCUUCCUCAUAACAUGCAAGGCUUCUAAUAAAAAGUUACCAACAUCCUAAUUCAUACAUCUCAAAGUCACAUACAGAUUUUGUUUUAAUUGAUUUAGACAGAAGAGAUUAAUCUAAAGAGUAGUUAAUGGAGAGAUUUGAAAAGGAAAAACAGAAAGAUAGAUGCAACUAACUUGGUGCCAAACAAAUAAUUACUUAUAAAAAAGCCAACUCAGUGCAUGAGGCUCGCAUCUAGUGGAAUCUGGAGAGAAUAUAUGUAUAUAGUCUUAUCCCCACAAGCGGAGUGACAGUUUCUAAGAUUUGAAUCGGUGACCUAUUGUAUAGAAUUGAUCACUAAGACGCAACCUUACCAUCGCGCCGAGACAUUCCAAGAUUGGUCACUAAAAGACAACCUUACCAUCACGCCGAGGCUUUCCCUCUUGGUCACUAUACAUAUUAGAACAUAUAUUAAAUAGAUUCUACGGGUGAAUGAUGUAAACUCAAUUUAUCUAUAUUGCAGAAUCAGAUGUUUGGGCAAGACUCUAUGGAGUAAGACUCAAUUUCUAUAUACAUGACUAAAACCGAGCCAGUAUCAAAAUUUUAAGUACAAAAAUUAUGGAAAAUCACCAACAACAGAAAAACAAAUGUAAUCUCCCAUGUCUAUAUCUAAAUCAUCUAAUCACAUCUCUGUAUAUGCAGAUGCCAUGUAAGGUAAAAUACCAAAUGAGCUUUUGUACAGUGUCUUGAAAUAAUAUAAUAAUAGAGUCAGGUCACAGAUCGAAAGCAAAGUGUAAAAUUAACCAACAAAAAUAUCACAAGUGAAUCAAUAAUAGGAUGGUAGUAUGUCGUGAGGAGAGAGAAAAGCAGAGGAAAACCUUAGAUAGUGCAAAAAGUUGAGAGUGCAUGCCAUUUUGGUCUCGAUUAAAAUUGGGUCCAAGACGUUCCAUCAGAGCAACAAAACACCAAAAUGCCUCUGACUCAUCACCCAUCACAAACAAUAUUGGAGACAGAAGAUCACUCAUUCCCUGUAAAACAGCAAUAUAUAAAUUCCCUAACCAUGAGACAACAAUGCACAGCUGUUACCCAUUUUUUGGAUAGGAUGAAAGAGAGAAGACGGUAUAUGAAAACAAUUAAUGGACAGGAUGAUUCAUCGUUUCAGAAUGUAGUUUGGUUCAGAAAAAUAAUAGUUAUCAAGAUACUCCUCCCUAGCAGCAAUGAAUACAUAAUAUUAUUUGUUUACUCAAAUAAGUAAGCAUCCAUAGCAACCACACUCUCAUAUACAAUAAGAACAACAUUUUGGUGUUCUAGAUACAAGAUAUUUACAAAAUAAGUUUAAUCCUCAGAUCAACUGAUAUUGUACCUGACAAUAACCAAGAUCAAAGUUGUAGAAUGAAUAUGUCAACAGGAUAUCUCGCAAAACAUUUACAUUUGGAUUAUCAUCCCCAUCAUAGAAAGCGAGCGAUCUAUCGGUUCGAACCUUCAACAAAACAAACAGUUAAGACUACAUAAGCAUCAUUUAGCAGUUCAUUCGAAGGCAUUCUAACAUAGUAUCAGAUGCACUAGUUUCCUGCAUACCACGUCUUUCUCAAUAAGGCAUUUCCUUUCCCUGAAUUUUGUGAAUCUUUUAGCCUGUGCCAAGGAGAUACUCUACAGACAAAAGUACAUCAACAGAAUUAUAUUCUGAAAAGGGUUUAGUUGAGACUUGAGAGCAUAAAGAGUUACGGCAAAAAAAUAAUGUCAAAAGAGAUGCGGUAUCCAUAAUCACAAUUCAUUAUUACAAAAUAUUAAUUAGAAAAGAACAUAGACAACAAAAGAGAUGUGUCUUCAUCCAGGUUCAGGUCAUCAGAUUUGUCUAGUUGCCAGGUUCAGGUAGCACAAUGCAGAAUUCAGUUCAAUCGGUGUAGUAAUGACCCAGGAACAAUUAUUCAGGCAGGGGGGGAUGUAGGUGAUAUAAAAUUCAUCAGAUGCAGUGAAGUGUCUCACAAGCAGUUUAGCAAUCUUUGGUUGAAAUUUGACCCAUUCCCAUAUUAACACAUUAGAUACUGCAUAACCACCAGUCUUGCACCAGUCAGUUUUUGUUAAACUGUUGAAUGGAAAGCCCUUCCAGCGUGACAACAUUUUUUAUAUGUGAAACACAAGAAACUAAUGAUCUAGCAGAUGAUAAAAUG